Molecule: ribosomal RNA, 1360 nt
Filed under: Microbacterium laevaniformans
Lineage: Bacteria; Bacillati; Actinomycetota; Actinomycetes; Micrococcales; Microbacteriaceae
Description: bacterial SSU rRNA
Rfam family: Bacterial small subunit ribosomal RNA
Source: RNAcentral
GCCUUGCACAUGCAUGUCGAACGGUGCAAGCCCAGCGUUAGCUGGGUAGGAUCAGUGGCGAACGGGUGAGUAACACGUGAGCAAUCUGCCCCUGACUCUGGGAUAAGCGCUGGAAACGGCGUCUAAUACUGGAUACGAGCCGUGAAGGCAUCUUCAACGGUUGGAAAGAUUUUUCGGUCAGGGAUGAGCUCGCGGCCUAUCAGCUUGUUGGUGAGGUAAUGGCUCACCAAGGCGUCGACGGGUAGCCGGCCUGAGAGGGUGACCGGCCACACUGGGACUGAGACACGGCCCAGACUCCUACGGGAGGCAGCAGUGGGGAAUAUUGCACAAUGGGCGCAAGCCUGAUGCAGCAACGCCGCGUGAGGGAUGACGGCCUUCGGGUUGUAAACCUCUUUUAGCAGGGAAGAAGCGAAAGUGACGGUACCUGCAGAAAAAGCGCCGGCUAACUACGUGCCAGCAGCCGCGGUAAUACGUAGGGCGCAAGCGUUAUCCGGAAUUAUUGGGCGUAAAGAGCUCGUAGGCGGUUUGUCGCGUCUGCUGUGAAAUCCCGAGGCUCAACCUCGGGUCUGCAGUGGGUACGGGCAGACUAGAGUGCGGUAGGGGAGAUUGGAAUUCCUGGUGUAGCGGUGGAAUGCGCAGAUAUCAGGAGGAACACCGAUGGCGAAGGCAGAUCUCUGGGCCGUAACUGACGCUGAGGAGCGAAAGGGUGGGGAGCAAACAGGCUUAGAUACCCUGGUAGUCCACCCCGUAAACGUUGGGAACUAGUUGUGGGGUCCAUUCCACGGAUUCCGUGACGCAGCUAACGCAUUAAGUUCCCCGCCUGGGGAGUACGGCCGCAAGGCUAAAACUCAAAGGAAUUGACGGGGACCCGCACAAGCGGCGGAGCAUGCGGAUUAAUUCGAUGCAACGCGAAGAACCUUACCAAGGCUUGACAUACACGAGAACGCUGCAGAAAUGUAGAACUCUUUGGACACUCGUGAACAGGUGGUGCAUGGUUGUCGUCAGCUCGUGUCGUGAGAUGUUGGGUUAAGUCCCGCAACGAGCGCAACCCUCGUUCUAUGUUGCCAGCACGUAAUGGUGGGAACUCAUGGGAUACUGCCGGGGUCAACUCGGAGGAAGGUGGGGAUGACGUCAAAUCAUCAUGCCCCUUAUGUCUUGGGCUUCACGCAUGCUACAAUGGCCGGUACAAAGGGCUGCGAUACCGUAAGGUGGAGCGAAUCCCAAAAAGCCGGUCCCAGUUCGGAUUGAGGUCUGCAACUCGACCUCAUGAAGUCGGAGUCGCUAGUAAUCGCAGAUCAGCAACGCUGCGGUGAUACGUUCCCGGGUCUGUACACACCGCCCGUCAGUCAUGAAAGUCGUA